UCCCUGGUGGCUCAGUGGUAAAGAAUCUGUCUGCCGAUGCAGGAGACACAGGUUCAGUUCCUGGCUUGGGAA
RNAcentral lists this transfer RNA (72 nucleotides) under Ovis aries (sheep). It matches the Rfam family "tRNA". From Rfam's summary of the family: Transfer RNA (tRNA) molecules are approximately 80 nucleotides in length. Their secondary structure includes four short double-helical elements and three loops (D, anti-codon, and T loops). Further hydrogen bonds mediate the characteristic L-shaped molecular structure. tRNAs have two regions of fundamental functional importance: the anti-codon, which is responsible for specific mRNA codon recognition, and the 3' end, to which the tRNAs corresponding amino acid is attached (by aminoacyl-tRNA synthetases). tRNAs cope with the degeneracy of the genetic code in two manners: having more than one tRNA (with a specific anti-codon) for a particular amino acid; and 'wobble' base-pairing, i.e. permitting non-standard base-pairing at the 3rd anti-codon position. The record is from Rfam by way of RNAcentral. Lineage: Eukaryota; Metazoa; Chordata; Mammalia; Artiodactyla; Bovidae.